UAGGGAAUCUUCGGCAAUGGACGGAAGUCUGACCGAGCAACGCCGCGUGAGUGAAGAAGGUUUUCGGAUCGUAAAGCUCUGUUGUUAGAGAAGAACGUUUGUAGGAGUGGAAAAUCUACCAAGUGACGGUAACUAACCAGAAAGGGACGGCUAACUACGUGCCAGCAGCCGCGGUAAUACGUAGGUCCCGAGCGUUGUCCGGAUUUAUUGGGCGUAAAGCGAGCGCAGUCGGUUCUUUAAGUCUGAAGUUAAAGGCAGUGGCUUAACCAUUGUACGCUUUGGAAACGGGAGGACUAGAGUGCAGAGGGGGAGAGUGGAAUUCCGUGUGUAGCGGUGAAAUGCGUAGAUAUAUGGAGGAACACCGGUGGCGAAAGCGGCUCUCUGGUCUGUAACUGACGCUGAGGCUCGAAAGCGUGGGGAGCAAACAGG
This 429-nucleotide ribosomal RNA is filed under the name Bacillota bacterium. RNAcentral describes it as "Firmicutes bacterium partial 16S ribosomal RNA". It matches the Rfam family "Bacterial small subunit ribosomal RNA", at positions 355 to 776 of the family's 1533-position model. The record is from RNAcentral. Lineage: Bacteria; Bacillati; Bacillota.